UCUCUGGUAGUAUAUCGGUUAGUACACGCGCUUGUCAUGGUAGGUAUAUGACGCCAUUUCGCGCGAAAGCUGGGUUCGACUCCCAGCCAGAGAG
This 94-nucleotide transfer RNA is filed under the name Armillaria gallica. RNAcentral describes it as "tRNA-Asp". It matches the Rfam family "tRNA". From Rfam's summary of the family: Transfer RNA (tRNA) molecules are approximately 80 nucleotides in length. Their secondary structure includes four short double-helical elements and three loops (D, anti-codon, and T loops). Lineage: Eukaryota; Fungi; Basidiomycota; Agaricomycetes; Agaricales; Physalacriaceae. The record is from RNAcentral.